Haplochromis burtoni (Burton's mouthbrooder) is the source of this 468-nucleotide long non-coding RNA. RefSeq lists it as uncharacterized. The record is from RefSeq and is a predicted model, not a curated record. Lineage: Eukaryota; Metazoa; Chordata; Actinopteri; Cichliformes; Cichlidae. The transcript is spliced from 3 exons.
GGGGGUUGGGGUUGUUUCGUAACGCCAGGCAACGUUUGCUGAACAUCUACUGUCGUCUUCGGUCAGAAAAACAUCACAGCUGAAUCUGGACAGAAGAACAUCACUCUUCUAUGCCGAGCUCCAAACAACGGAUAUCCUCAGAUGACUGUAGAGUGGAGCAGACUUGACCUGGGGGAUCAAUAUGUGCUUUUGUAUCGGGACGGUCACUUUAAUUCACACAACCAGCAUCCAUCUUUUAAGAACCGGGUGGAUCUGCAGGACAGACAGAUGAAGGAUGGAGACGUGUCUUUGAUUCUGAAGGAUGUGACGAUUAAUGAUGCUGGAACAUACGAGUGUCGUGUCAAGCCAGAAACAAAUCGGAGAAAGAGAGCUAAUCUCAGUGGUGACCCCAUCAGCAUCAUCUACCUUCAUGUUGAUCCUCCAGGUCAGACAGGAGGAGACACAGAGGAUGGAGAGAAGGAGGCAGGG